RNAcentral lists this unclassified non-coding RNA (330 nucleotides) under soil metagenome. Its description in RNAcentral is "partial contains 5.8S ribosomal RNA, internal transcribed spacer 2, and large subunit ribosomal RNA". The stretch from base 1 to 118 matches the Rfam family "5.8S ribosomal RNA", at positions 35 to 154 of the family's 154-position model. The record is from RNAcentral.
GAUGAAGAACGCAGCGAAAUGCGAUAAGUAAUGAAUUGCAGAAUUCAGUGAAUCAUCGAAUCUUUGAACGCACAUUGCGCCCGCCAGUAUUCUGGCGGGCAUGCCUGUCCGAGCGUCAUUUCAACCAUCAAGCCCCGGGCUUGUGUUGGGGACCUGCGUCCGACGCAGGCCCUGAAAACCAGUGGCGGGCUCGCUGUCCACACCGAGCGUAGUAACUAACCUCGCUAUGGAGUGGCGCGGGCGCCUGCCGUAAAACCCCCAAUUUCACAAGGUUGACCUCGGAUCAGGUAGGAAUACCCGCUGAACUUAAGCAUAUCAAUAAGCGGAGGA